GUAAGCCUCAAAAUGACCCUAUGAUGUUGGGCCCACUGUGAUCUUUAUUUUCUAGGUGGGGAACAAAGAGCUUGAGAGAUUUAUACCCCAGCCCAAGAUCCACAGUCAUUAAAUGGCAGGGCUCUAGUUCAAAUCCAGGUCAGUGUGAUUCCAGAGCUCACAGUCUCACCACUACUCUCUUCUAGAAUUUACAGUCUUCAUGCUUUGCUCUUCUCUCCUUCCCUCUCAAGACUGCAAUCAUGGAGCUGAUAGACUUAUUUUCACCAAAACAUAAAUGAUGGGCACAGCUUAUUAUGUUUUUUUUCUGGAUGCAUUUUGAAAUGACCAUUGGAUGUACUUCUUUUGCAUUUUUAUUGUGAAAUACAGAACCAGUUUUGGCACUUUAUAUAAGACUCCUUCCCUAUUGCUUCGACUAUAGUUAGUAUUUUCUAGGUUGGCUGUAGGGAUUGUUCCCUGAAGCUUAUAUACCUCACCACGCGUUGACGACUCCCCCAGGUCAAUAGAAUCCACUAGGUGGCGCCCAGGUCUACUGCCGCGUCUCGUCUCCGCUGGGCGCAAAUCUUGGAACAGCUGUGGAUGUUCGAGGAGUGGUUGGAGAGAUCAAUAUGAUCCAUGUGGAGCAGCUUCCCUACCGUCUGCUCCAAAAGGCUGUAAGCCUGGUGUCCUUCAAACUGUUACUGUAAUGAAAUACCCGAAUAUGGACAAUGAUGGUGUGGUUUUGAGUACGAGAAAGCCUGCGGUUUUGCUUCGUGAGACUUAAAGACGAGCAGGCAGACAGGCAUCCAUCCAGCUGCAGUUCAUAGCCGAUGCCCCCGACAAGUAGCAGGCUGGCGACUGAGAAGCUCCCCAGAAGCUACCUUUAAUGCCCAAAGAUUGAUUUAGGCAAUGACACUGCAAUGUACGGAAGGGGAAAAAGGGACGAGAGGAAGGUAUCAAAAAGAGGGAGAUUAUUUCAAUAUUAACUUGAGUGCAGGCAUAAUUCGCUCUCAUUUCUGGCAGGCAAUUGAGCACUCUGCUUCAUAUGCAAAAUCGAGGGUACAUUCUGAUGUAGAUUUCAGAUAGCGGGAAAUGAAGGUAUUUUGUUUUUCUUUUAAAUUGCAUUGGGCAAUUUCCUUUCUUAUAUGAAACGCUGUAGGCUUUGUACAAUUAUUUUAUACGUUAUUACCAUUCUUCUAAAAAGGGACAGCUUUUUUCUUUCCAAUUUAAAGUAGUGGAUAAUGACUUUGGCAGCAUUUUCCUGCCUUUUUCAAGUUUAUGGAACCCAUUCCUCAUCAUUAGGCUGAAGAUGCAGAUAAGAAAGGACGAGCCUUUUUCUGGAGCUUGUCACAUCAAUGUUGCUUCUUAGGUGAUUAAAAAGAAAGCAGCGAGGAUCUUGGAGAAAACGUCUGACAAAAGCUGAAUACAGACAAUAUGGAGGCCUCAGGCUCAGAGGAUGGCAGAGUCUUCAGAUGGAUGGAGGGAGCUGCAGUCACUGAACCACUGCAGGGAGAGAAGUACUCACAGACCAGGAACGCUCAACUUGGACUGUUAUGUGACAGAGUAAUAAUAAACUUCUAUUUUGGUUUGAGUAAUGUUGUGUUUUGGGUUUAUCUGUUUCUGC
RNAcentral lists this long non-coding RNA (1600 nucleotides) under Homo sapiens (human). RNAcentral's name for it is "HSALNT0307457". Lineage: Eukaryota; Metazoa; Chordata; Mammalia; Primates; Hominidae. The record is from RNAcentral.